UACGAAGGGUGCAAGCGUUAAUCGGAAUUACUGGGCGUAAAGCGUGCGUAGGCGGUUUGUUAAGUCUGCUGUGAAAUCCCCGGGCUCAACCUGGGAAUGGCAGUGGAUACUGGCAAGCUAGAGUGUGUCAGAGGAUGGUGGAAUUCCCGGUGUAGCGGUGAAAUGCGUAGAGAUCGGGAGGAACAUCAGUGGCGAAGGCGGCCAUCUGGGACAACACUGACGCUGAGGCACGGAAAGCGUGGGGAGCAAACAGGG
RNAcentral lists this ribosomal RNA (255 nucleotides) under uncultured bacterium. Its description in RNAcentral is "partial 16S ribosomal RNA". It matches the Rfam family "Bacterial small subunit ribosomal RNA", at positions 524 to 777 of the family's 1533-position model. The record is from RNAcentral.